RNAcentral lists this ribosomal RNA (505 nucleotides) under uncultured bacterium. Its description in RNAcentral is "bacterial SSU rRNA". It matches the Rfam family "Bacterial small subunit ribosomal RNA", at positions 28 to 524 of the family's 1533-position model. The record is from RNAcentral.
GACGAACGCUGGCGGCGUGGAUUAGGCAUGCAAGUCGAACGGUAUCAUCCUUUCGGGGGUGAGAGAGUGGCGAACUGGUGAGUAACACGUAGGUUAUCUACCCUCAAGACGGGGACAACCCAGGGAAACUUGGGCUAAUACCGGAUGUGAGCAACUUUUAGUUGUUUGAAAGGUGGCGUAAGCUGUCGCUUGGGGAUGAGCCUGCGUCCUAUUAGUUAGUUGGUGAGGUAACGGCUCACCUAGGCAAUGAUAGGUAGGCGGCCUUAACGGGUGGUCGCCCACACUGGGAUUGAGAUACGGCCCAGACUCCUACGGGAGGCAGCAGUCGAGAAUAGUCUACAAUGGUCGGAAGACUGAUAGUGCGACGCCGCGUGAACGAUGAAUCCCUUCGGGUGUAAAGUUCUUUUAUAUGUGAGCAGUGCUUCUUAUAUUAACAGUAUGGGGAGAGAGAUAUUAGCAUAAUGAAUAAAGCAACGGCUAACUCCGUGCCAGCAGCCGCGGUAAA